CACACCGCCCGUCACACCACGGGAGGUGGAGACGCCCGAAGCCGAUUAUCUAACCUUUUGGAAGAAGUCGUCGAAGGUGGAAUCAAUAACUGGGGUGAAGUCGUAACAAGGUAGCCGUAUCGGAAGGUGCGGCUGGAUCACCUCCUUUCUAAGGAGA
RNAcentral lists this ribosomal RNA (157 nucleotides) under Clostridioides difficile. RNAcentral describes it as "partial 16S ribosomal RNA". It matches the Rfam family "Bacterial small subunit ribosomal RNA", at positions 1386 to 1533 of the family's 1533-position model. Lineage: Bacteria; Bacillati; Bacillota; Clostridia; Peptostreptococcales; Peptostreptococcaceae. The record is from RNAcentral.